This 253-nucleotide ribosomal RNA is filed under the name uncultured bacterium. Its description in RNAcentral is "partial 16S ribosomal RNA". It matches the Rfam family "Bacterial small subunit ribosomal RNA", at positions 524 to 776 of the family's 1533-position model. The record is from RNAcentral.
UACAGAGGUCCCAAGCGUUGUUCGGAUUCAUUGGGCGUAAAGCGUGCGCAGGCGGUUGUGCAAGACCGAUGUGAAAUCCCCGGGCUUAACCUGGGAAUGGCAUUGGUGACUGCACGGCUAGAGUGUGUCAGAGGGGGGUAGAAUUCCACGUGUAGCAGUGAAAUGCGUAGAGAUGUGGAGGAAUACCGAUGGCGAAGGCAGCCCCCUGGGAUAACACUGACGCUCAUGCACGAAAGCGUGGGGAGCAAACAGG